GUCUGCUUUGCUCAUCACCUGUCUCCAACACCUGGCAAAAGAAUAGCUGCACCAGGUGUACCUGCUACAUUCAUUAACUGGCAAAGCCUCGAGGCAAUGAGGCCCAGGAGAGACGAUUUUGAGAGAUGAAUGGCUAACCUGCCCCUGCUGACAGGACCAGCUCCCGUGGCUCAGAGCUGCUUCUGGCCUCAGCCAGUCCUCAGGAAGAAUGAAGAUGUUGACACAGGAGCCCAGGCCAUGGCUGGCCAUGCCCGUUGGGUGGCAGAGAGCUGGCCUGAGUGCCCCAACUCCCUGGCAUUCCUGAAUCCUGCUGCUGCCUGCUUUGCUCCCAAGAAGAGCACCUGCUGAUUCGCCUCAGCCUGUGGAGGGCAGGACCUCCCUUUCCCAGCCUGCUGGUGAGACAGGCCUGUAUUCAGAUGCUUCCUUGGCUGUUAGAAGCUGUGUGACCUGCAGCAAGCCCUUCCUCAGUCUCCACAGGUGGAGAGAGAGGAUGAGGCCAUACUCCCGUGGUGUUAUUGUGAGGAUGAAGGAGGACUAUGUGCAAUGAAGCUAGGGUUCACACGGAGUAUGAACCCUAGCUCUUCUAGCUCUCUCCUCCACCCUUCCAACACCCUUCUCUUCCUCCUUCUGACUGAACAGCCCUUGGAGACUUGGGGUAUGCAUACUUUCUCUUAUUUGCCAUGAUAACAUCUAUUGCAGGCCCAGUGCAAGGAUGCUCCAGUCCCUCAUAGAAGGAAUCAAAGAUAAAGCAAGCACACUCCCUGCCCAGUGGGAACACUAUUCAUUUGCACACCCAUAUGUAUUGGAUGUCACCUGCCCAUGCAUGUGACCUUUCUCUCCCUAAAUUGCUCUGUCCUUGUGUGGUUGCUUCACCUCUGCAGUCAACCUGUGACUGCUCCCUCCCAGAUGCCCAGAUGGCAUCUACACAGAGCCUCAUUGGCUAACCCAGCCUUGCAGCUUCCAUGUCACUGACAUAGGAGGACUGGGAACAAUCUCUAAAAGAAUGACAUAACCCUUAAGGACACGACAUAAACUGGUUAGAGCCAGGUAGCUCCAAGAUGGUGGCAGAUUUGACUUCUAGUUGACUGUGAACCUCAUUAUAUGCUCAUUGUAAUACAUUAGCUAAAUGACACAGCCACAGGCAUCAUGACAAGUCUGAGGCUGACCAUAAACGGCCAAAAGGUGGGUGUUGGCCCAAUUCCUGGAAAUCUUUGCCUCUUUCCCAAAACAGUUGGAACAACCCUCCUGUUCAUUAACCUAUGAAAUUACCCAGCCCAUAAAAACUAACUCCUCUAUUUAUGGGCCUCCCACCUUCUAAGGAGGGGCUUCCCAGGUGGGGCUAGUGGUAGAGAACCUGCCUGCCAAUUCAGGAGACAUAAGAGACACGGGUUUGACCUCUGGGUUGGGAGGAUCCCCUGGAAGAGGGCGUGGCAACCCAAUCUAGUAUUCUUGCCUGGAGAAUCCCAUAGACAGAGGAGCCUGGUGGGCUAUGGACCACCUGAGUCCACAGGGUCACAAAAAGUCAGAAAUGCUGAAGGAACUUAGCACACACACACCUUUUAAGGUGGCCCAUACUCUGUGGAGUGUAUUUCUCCCAAGGCUGCUCUCACCUUUUGAGAUGGACCAUAUUCUGUCUAUGGGAUGUGUAUUUCUCUAAAUAAAUCCACUUCUUGCCUAUCA
RNAcentral lists this long non-coding RNA (1680 nucleotides) under Bos indicus x Bos taurus (hybrid cattle). RNAcentral's name for it is "lncRNA (ENSBIXG00000027813.1)". Lineage: Eukaryota; Metazoa; Chordata; Mammalia; Artiodactyla; Bovidae. The record is from RNAcentral.